UUAAAAACUUUGAUAAGGAUCCAGUAAGCCUAAAAGGCUGAAUUACACCUUUGAGUUUCGGACUGAAUUUUUAGUAAGUCUUGACGUUAUCCCACGUUAGAGGGUGAGGAAGUUAUUGCUUCCAAGAGAGUGAAUCUGUUUUGCAGAUUAAUUCAGGUGGUACCGCGAAAUUAAGUCGUCCUGUUU
RNAcentral lists this non-coding RNA (186 nucleotides) under Halanaerobium saccharolyticum. RNAcentral describes it as "T-box sequence". It matches the Rfam family "T-box leader". From Rfam's summary of the family: Uncharged tRNA acts as the effector for transcription antitermination of genes in the T-box leader family. T-boxes are found upstream of many aminoacyl-tRNA synthetase genes and some amino acid biosynthetic genes usually in Gram-positive bacteria. The anticodon of a specific tRNA base pairs to a specifier sequence within the T-box motif, and the NCCA acceptor tail of the tRNA base pairs to a conserved bulge in the T-box antiterminator hairpin. Lineage: Bacteria; Bacillati; Bacillota; Clostridia; Halanaerobiales; Halanaerobiaceae. The record is from RNAcentral.